ACACUUACCUGUCAGGGGAGAUCCCAUGACCAUGAAGGUAGUUUUUCCAGGUGAGGCUUAUCCAUUGCACUCUGGAUGUUCUGACCUCUCCAAUUUACCCCCCAAAUGUGGGAAACUUGGCUACAUAAUUUGUAGUAGUGGGGGACUUUGUGCUUAUCCCCAA
This 163-nucleotide small nuclear RNA is filed under the name Neotoma lepida (desert woodrat). Its description in RNAcentral is "U1 spliceosomal RNA". It matches the Rfam family "U1 spliceosomal RNA". From Rfam's summary of the family: U1 is a small nuclear RNA (snRNA) component of the spliceosome (involved in pre-mRNA splicing). Lineage: Eukaryota; Metazoa; Chordata; Mammalia; Rodentia; Cricetidae. The record is from Rfam by way of RNAcentral.